GCACAACGCGAAGAACCUUACCAGGCCUUGACAUCCAAUGAACUUUCCAGAGAUGGAUUGGUGCCUUCGGGAGCAUUGAGACAGGUGCUGCAUGGCUGUCGUCAGCUCGUGUCGUGAGGUGUUGGGUUAAGUCCCGUAACGAGCGCAACCCGUUGUCCUUAGUUACCAGCACGUAAUGGUGGGCACUCUAAGGAGACUGCCGGUGACAGACCGGAGGAAGGUGGGGAUGGACGUCAAGUCAUCAUGGCCCUUAGGCCUGGGCUACACACGUGCUACAAUGGUCGGUACAGAGGGUUGCCAAGCCGCGAGGUGGAGCUAAGUCUCACAAAACCGAUCGUAGUCCGGAUCGCAGUCUGCAACUCGACUGCGUGAAGUCGGAAUCGCUAGUAAUCGCGAAUCAGAAUGUCGCGGUGAAUACGUUCCCCGGGGUCUUGUACACACCGAGUCGUGGGAGGGCAAGGGGCACACAGGGGGGGGAU
This 479-nucleotide ribosomal RNA is filed under the name uncultured bacterium. RNAcentral describes it as "bacterial SSU rRNA". It matches the Rfam family "Bacterial small subunit ribosomal RNA", at positions 954 to 1435 of the family's 1533-position model. The record is from RNAcentral.